UGUGUGACUGUAAGCAUUGCUCAUUACUGC
Molecule: non-coding RNA, 30 nt
Filed under: Homo sapiens (human)
Lineage: Eukaryota; Metazoa; Chordata; Mammalia; Primates; Hominidae
Source: RNAcentral